This 468-nucleotide ribosomal RNA is filed under the name uncultured bacterium. RNAcentral describes it as "partial 16S ribosomal RNA". It matches the Rfam family "Bacterial small subunit ribosomal RNA", at positions 28 to 507 of the family's 1533-position model. The record is from RNAcentral.
GACGAACGCUGGCGGCGUGCUUAACACAUGCCAGUCGAACGGAAAGGCCCUGCUUUUGUGGGGUGCUCGAGUGGCGAACGGGUGAGUAACACGUGAGUAACCUGCCCUUGACUUUGGGAUAACUUCAGGAAACUGGGGCUAAUACCGGAUAGGAGCUCCUGCUGCAUGGUGGGGGUUGGAAAGUUUCGGCGGUUGGGGAUGGACUCGCGGCUUAUCAGCUUGUUGGUGGGGUAGUGGCUUACCAAGGCUUUGACGGGUAGCCGGCCUAAGAGGGUGACCGGCCACAUUGGGACUGAGAUACGGCCCAGACUCCUACGGGAGGCAGCAGUGGGGAAUAUUGCACAAUGGGCGGAAGCCUGAUGCAGCAACGCCGCGUGCGGGAUGACGGCCUUCGGGUGGUAAACCGCUUUCGCCUGUGACGAAGCGUGAGUGACGGUAAUGGGUAAAGAAGCACCGGCUAACUACGUG